This 112-nucleotide Y RNA is filed under the name Prolemur simus (greater bamboo lemur). RNAcentral describes it as "Y RNA (ENSPSMG00000023108.1)". It matches the Rfam family "Y RNA". Rfam says of the family: Y RNAs are components of the Ro ribonucleoprotein particle (Ro RNP), in association with Ro60 and La proteins. Lineage: Eukaryota; Metazoa; Chordata; Mammalia; Primates; Lemuridae. The record is from Rfam by way of RNAcentral.
GUCUGGUCUGAAGGUGGUGAGUUAUCUCAGUUGAUUGCUCACAACCAGUUACAGAUCAAGCUCCUCAUUCUACUCUUUCCUCCUUCUCACUACUGGACUUGACUAGUCUAGG